CCUACGGGGGGCAGCAGUGGGGAAUAUUGGACAAUGGGGGGAACCCUGAUCCAGCCAUGCCGCGUGUGUGAAGAAGGCCCUCGGGUUGUAAAGCACUUUCAGUGAGGAAGAACGCCUGGUGGUUAAUACCCAUCAGGAAAGACAUCACUCACAGAAGAAGCACCGGCUAACUCCGUGCCAGCAGCUGCGGUAAUACGGAGGGUGCGAGCGUUAAUCGGAAUUACUGGGCGUAAAGCGCGCGUAGGUGGCUUGAUAAGCCGGUUGUGAAAGCCCCGGGCUCAACCUGGGAACGGCAUCCGGAACUGGCAAGCUAGAGUGCAGGAGAGGAAGGUAGAAUUCCCGGUGUAGCGGUGAAAUGCGUAGAGAUCGGGAGGAAUACCAGUGGCGAAGGCGGCCUUCUGGACUGACACUGACACUGAGGUGCGAAAGCGUGGGUAGCAAACAGGAUUAGAUACCCUAGUAGUC
RNAcentral lists this ribosomal RNA (465 nucleotides) under Vreelandella stevensii. Its description in RNAcentral is "partial 16S ribosomal RNA". It matches the Rfam family "Bacterial small subunit ribosomal RNA", at positions 338 to 795 of the family's 1533-position model. The record is from RNAcentral. Lineage: Bacteria; Pseudomonadati; Pseudomonadota; Gammaproteobacteria; Oceanospirillales; Halomonadaceae.